AUACGGAGGGUGCAAGCAUUAAUCGGAUUUAUUGGGCGUAAAGUGCGCGUAGGCGGUUUGGUCAGUCGGAUGUGAAAGCCCCAGGCUCAACCUGGGAAUGGCAUUCGAUACUGCCUGACUAGAGUAUGCUAGAGGGAAGUGGAAUUUCCGGUGUAGCGGUGAAAUGCGUAGAUAUCGGAAGGAACACCAGUGGCGAAGGCGACUUCCUGGGCCAAUACUGACGCUAAGGUGCGAAAGCGUGGGGAGCAAACAGGAUUAGAUACCCGAGUAGUCC
This 274-nucleotide ribosomal RNA is filed under the name uncultured bacterium. RNAcentral describes it as "partial 16S ribosomal RNA". It matches the Rfam family "Bacterial small subunit ribosomal RNA", at positions 523 to 796 of the family's 1533-position model. The record is from RNAcentral.